This 413-nucleotide ribosomal RNA is filed under the name uncultured bacterium. RNAcentral describes it as "bacterial SSU rRNA". It matches the Rfam family "Bacterial small subunit ribosomal RNA", at positions 485 to 895 of the family's 1533-position model. The record is from RNAcentral.
AAGAAGCACCGGCUAACUCCGUGCCAGCAGCCGCGGUAAUACGGAGGGUGCGAGCGUUAAUCGGAAUUACUGGGCGUAAAGGGUGCGUAGGUGGAUUGAUAAGUUAUUGUUUAAAUUCAUGGGCUUAACCUGUGGUAGUGCAGUAAUACUGUUAAUCUAGAGUGUAGUAGAGGAUAGGGGAAUUUCUGGUGUAGCGGUGAAAUGCGUAGAUAUCAGAAGGAACACCGGUGGCGAAGGCGCCUAUCUGGGCUAAGACUGACACUGAGGCACGAGAGCUUGGGUAGCGAACAGGAUUAGAUACCCUGGUAGUCCAAGCUGUAAACGAUGUCAACUAGCUGUCUGUAGAUUAAGGUUUAUAGGUAGCGAAGCAAAACGCGCUAAGUUGACCGCCUGGGGAGUACGGUCGCAAGAUU